Molecule: transfer RNA, 92 nt
Filed under: Mycobacterium attenuatum
Lineage: Bacteria; Bacillati; Actinomycetota; Actinomycetes; Mycobacteriales; Mycobacteriaceae
Description: Mycobacterium sp. MK41 tRNA-Lys
Source: RNAcentral
GCGCCGUUUUGUCGAUAUGUUCUAGGGUGUCACCUUUUUGGUGAUAGUUGGGAUCGAAAGGCUCGUUUGCGGUGCCGCCCCACAGCUGUGCC